Molecule: ribosomal RNA, 465 nt
Filed under: Gemella morbillorum
Lineage: Bacteria; Bacillati; Bacillota; Bacilli; Caryophanales; Gemellaceae
Description: bacterial SSU rRNA
Rfam family: Bacterial small subunit ribosomal RNA
Source: RNAcentral
GACGAACGCUGGCGGCGUGCCUAAUACAUGCAAGUCGAGCGAAGUUUUUCUGGUGCUUGCACUAGAAAAACUUAGCGGCGAACGGGUGAGUAACACGUAAAGAACCUGCCUCAUAGACUGGGACAACUAUUGGAAACGAUAGCUAAUACCGGAUAACAGCAUUAACUGCAUGGUUGAUGUUUGAAAGUUGGUUAUGCUAACACUAUGAGAUGGCUUUGCGGUGCAUUAGCUAGUUGGUGGGGUAAAGGCCCACCAAGGCGACGAUGCAUAGCCGACCUGAGAGGGUGAUCGGCCACACUGGGACUGAGACACGGCCCAGACUCCUACGGGAGGCAGCAGUAGGGAAUCUUCCGCAAUGGGCGAAAGCCUGACGGAGCAACGCCGCGUGAGUGAAGAAGGAUUUCGGUUCGUAAAGCUCUGUUGUUAGGGAAGAAUGGAUAUGUAGUAACUAUACAUGUACGAGAC